Molecule: ribosomal RNA, 374 nt
Filed under: uncultured organism
Description: partial 16S ribosomal RNA
Rfam family: Bacterial small subunit ribosomal RNA
Source: RNAcentral
GUAGGUGGCAAGCGUUGUCCGGAAUUAUUGGGCGUAAAGCGCGCGUAGGUGGGUUCUUUAAGUCUGAUGUGAAAGCCCCCGGGCUUAACCGGGGAGGGUCAUUGGAAACUGGGGAACUUGAGUGCAGGAGAGGAAAGUGGAAUUCCACGUGUAGCGGUGAAAUGCGUAGAUAUGUGGAGGAACACCAGUGGCGAAGGCGACUUUCUGGCCUGUAACUGACACUGAGGCGCGAAAGCGUGGGGAGCAAACAGGAUUAGAUACCCUGGUAGUCCACGCCGUAAACGAUGAGUGCUAAGUGUUGGGGGGUUUCCGCCCCUCAGUGCUGCAGCUAACGCAUUAAGCACUCCGCCUGGGGAGUACGGUCGCAAAGACUG